CUCGGAGUUUGAUCCUGGCUCAGAUGAACGCUGCGGAUGCUUACACAUGCAAGUCGAACGGUAGAGGGGGCAACCCCUUGAGAGUGGCGAACGGGUGAGUAAUAUAUCGGAACGUGCCCAGUCGUGGGGGAUAACGUAGCGAAAGUUACGCUAAUACCGCAUACGAUCUAAGGAUGUAAGCGGGGAUCGCAAGACCUCGCGCGAUUGGAGCGGCCGAUAUCAGAUUAGGUAGUUGGUGAGGUAAAGGCUCACCAAGCCAACGAUCUGUAGCUGGUCUGAGAGGACGACCAGCCACACUGGAACUGAGACACGGUCCAGACUCCUACGGGA
Molecule: ribosomal RNA, 330 nt
Filed under: uncultured Limnohabitans sp.
Lineage: Bacteria; Pseudomonadati; Pseudomonadota; Betaproteobacteria; Burkholderiales; Comamonadaceae
Description: bacterial SSU rRNA
Rfam family: Bacterial small subunit ribosomal RNA
Source: RNAcentral